AACGAACGCUGGCGGCAUGCCUAACACAUGCAAGUCGAACGAGACCUUCGGGUCUAGUGGCGCACGGGUGCGUAACGCGUGGGAACCUGCCCUUAGGUUCGGAAUAACUCCCCGAAAGGGGUGCUAAUACCGGAUAAUGUCUUCGGACCAAAGAUUUAUCGCCUUUGGAUGGGCCCGCGUUGGAUUAGCUAGUUGGUAGGGUAAAAGCCUACCAAGGCGACGAUCCAUAGCUGGUCUGAGAGGAUGAUCAGCCACACUGGGACUGAGACACGGCCCAGACUCCUAGGGGAGGCAGCAGUGGGGAAUAUUGGACACUGGGCGAAAGCCUGAUCCAGCAAUGCCGCGUGAGUGAUGAAGGCGUUAGGGUUGUAAAGCUCUUUUACCCGGGAUGAUAAUGACAGUACCGGGAGAAUAAGCUCCGGCUAACUCCGUG
This 433-nucleotide ribosomal RNA is filed under the name uncultured bacterium. RNAcentral describes it as "partial 16S ribosomal RNA". It matches the Rfam family "Bacterial small subunit ribosomal RNA", at positions 29 to 507 of the family's 1533-position model. The record is from RNAcentral.